CUCAAACUGGUUCGUCAAAGUUUCGACCAUCUUCAUACCCAAAAUCAUGUUGUUGGAGUGAUUUGAAAAGUGGGAUCCAAUCAAAAGAUGAGUUGCAAUCCACAUUCCGUGGACUACACACACCUCACUAUCUUUUCCCAAAGCAACCAAUUAACACGUUUACGCGAACUGCAUUGCUACGAAAAUUAUUUGCGCGCAAUCAAUUCCUUUUUGGGAUUUCUCUCAGUUUCAAGAACUUCAUCAUGCUGUGUUUCUCAAAUUCUCACCACUCAGUAGACUAGCGUGCUCAGCCUUUUUUCCCCUACAAUUGGGGCUGCUCCUAGGUCUUGAUUAUGAUUAAUUUAAGGACAGCGAUCUGCAUAUAUGAGGCCUUGUUAUUGGAGGAUAGGCGGAUAUCAUAUUUUGCUUACAAGAGCUUCCAUGCUCGACCUCCAUUCAUGUUGAACUUCUU
Sesamum indicum (sesame) is the source of this 451-nucleotide non-coding RNA. NCBI's taxonomy places the organism in Eukaryota, Viridiplantae, Streptophyta, Magnoliopsida, Lamiales, Pedaliaceae. The record is from RefSeq and is a predicted model, not a curated record.